This 435-nucleotide ribosomal RNA is filed under the name uncultured bacterium. RNAcentral's name for it is "partial 16S ribosomal RNA". It matches the Rfam family "Bacterial small subunit ribosomal RNA", at positions 29 to 507 of the family's 1533-position model. The record is from RNAcentral.
AGCGAACGCUGGCGGCAGGCUUAACACAUGCAAGUCGAACGGGCAUCUUCGGAUGUCAGUGGCAGACGGGUGAGUAACACGUGGGAACGUACCCUUCGGUUCGGAAUAACUCAGGGAAACUUGAGCUAAUACCGGAUACGCCCUUUUGGGGAAAGGUUUACUGCCGAAGGAUCGGCCCGCCUCUGAUUAGCUUGUUGGUGGGGUAACGGCCUACCAAGGCGACGAUCAGUAGCUGGUCUGAGAGGAUGAUCAGCCACACUGGGACUGAGACACGGCCCAGACUCCUACGGGAGGCAGCAGUGGGGAAUAUUGGACAAUGGGCGCAAGCCUGAUCCAGCCAUGCCGCGUGAGUGAUGAAGGCCUUAGGGUUGUAAAGCUCUUUUGUCCGGGACGAUAAUGACGGUACCGGAAGAAUAAGCCCCGGCUAACUUCGUG